Bombus terrestris (buff-tailed bumblebee) is the source of this 3521-nucleotide long non-coding RNA. RefSeq lists it as uncharacterized. The transcript has 3 exons. The record is from RefSeq and is a predicted model, not a curated record. Lineage: Eukaryota; Metazoa; Arthropoda; Insecta; Hymenoptera; Apidae.
AAUGAUAUAAAACAGAAAUUGUUGUUCAUCUAUUAUCACCUUAUGAAACGAAAGAACCUUUUCGGACAACCUAAUAACAAAAUAACUAGAAACUAAAAGCAGAGAAGAGUAUCUAAUUUAUAUUAAAUAUAUGAGUGUAUAUCCGUGGAUUAAAUAAAUUUUUGGUGACUUUGUGGAUUAUGGAUAUUCAAAGUUGCGACGCAUAAUUUUACUGCGAAAUAUUAAUUAUAUUGUAUCUGUAAACAUUCAACAAAUAGGAUUUAGUAUAUUCGUAUUGUGUGAACGUAUCGUAUGUAUAUAUUCAUUGGCCCAAGAAAAUGGAUUUAGUUUGCACAUAUAGGCGUGGUUGAUGAGAUUGAAAGAAUUAAUUUCAACGAUAUGUUCGUCAACAGUACGCUACAUUUCUUUAUUGUUGAGGUUGAGGUUGACUGAUUGAAAAACGAGUGGAUGAAUUUGUAAUAGAAAAGAAAAUGGAUUUAGUUUGCACAUAUAGGCGUGGUUGAUGAGAUUGGAAGAGUUAAUUUCAACGAUAUGUUCGUCAACAGUACGCUACAUUUUUUUAUUGUUGAGGUUGAGGUUGACUGAUUGAAAAACAAGUGAAUGAAUUUGUAAUAGAAAAGUAUAUUGAAAUAACUAAAGGUAUAAGCAUAAGUUUAUGCUGAUUCAGAUCCUUACUCUCUUACUAGACAAUGGAAUCGAUCGUUUAUAUAUUUGUAACAAAAGGACAUUACCAAAAAAGUUAACCAUAUAGCUUUAGCUAAAGGCUACAGAGAACAUAAAUAGAAAUCUGUUUAUUAGUUCCUUUGUUUCUAGACCUUGCAACCCAAAACAUAAUGUAUAUUCAAGGGUACGAUAAUAUGCACCUCUCCUUAUUUAGAAUAUUUCUGCGUAAUAGCAGUCUGCAGGUCACGGAUGUCCAUAAAUAAAGAUGUAGAGUUUUUCUUGAAGUAGUUACUUCAACAUUUAUGAUGCAAAAAAUGAAGUCUACUGAGGGAAUAUGAAACGAAUGUUCGCUGAAAGUUGGGAAAAUAACCGUGCCGAUGAAGUGUGGAAUUCAAGGAAUGCAAUAAGAAUCGAAAGCAACUGAUCAUAAAUCACUGUUUCGUACGAACGUGUAAUCUGCUAGAACUUCAACGAGAUUACACAGGGGGCUAAUAAAUGACGACUUAAAAAACACUCGAUUUGUUUCCUUAAUUUAAGUUAGAAAUCAGAAAAUUGCAAGAAAUUCCUGUUAAAUUUAUUUUAGAAAGUUCUCUAUCAUUGAGCACAGAAAAAUUACGAACCAUGGAAACAAAAACUUCGUAUCUUUAAAUGGAAAUAAUAAGAACAACUGAUCUGAUAACUGUACUGGCCAUCCAUUAACAGUUAACAUAUUAGAAAGAGGGUUGGCCAUUAAACACAGUAGUCAAAGAGAAAUAUCCAGAGUUUUGUAAUAAAACAAUAUUAGAUUAAAAAGUAUAUCAAUCUUCAAUCAUCAGUUGGCACGUAAUAAUCUAUACUAUCUAAAAUAUAUUCAAUCUUAGUUGGUACAUUCUAUUCCAUCUAAUACCAUCGCCCGGAUAUCGUUUAUCUUGAUACUCUUAAUGUUACAAAACUAAAUGAGAAACCGAAUGAACGCUGGUAACCUGUAAAUUGAAAGAAUUCAUUCUUUUUUUUAAAAAAAUACAAAUUAUAGCGUUACUUAAAUUAUAAUAAAACGUCGUAAAGAAUUGUAACUGAUUUCACAAAUAUAGCUCUCGAACAUUUCUUACAUUUUACUGCGAAACUUUCGAACAGAUAUUUUGUAUUGAAUUCAAUUGUGAAUUAAAAGCAUACGAAACCACCGUUCGAUCGGCGAAGAACCACUGGCAAUAUCGAAUUUGAUUUUGGUACACAAAACGUACAAGUACCCAUAGAAAUCCAUCAAAUGUAAAAUCAGCCGGUUGCAUCAUACCGCCUCCGCCGCUGGUGCAGCAGGAGGAAAAAAUUCUUUUAAAACUAGUCAUAGCGCAUACAUAUCCCGCAGAAACGAUCGUCCGUUCGAUGUGUAGAAGAUAUCGAUGAUGCAACGAUGCAUUUCCAAGGUAUCUCAACCGAGGACGCCAUUACUGUAAAAUCGAAAAUACCCGGUUCGUCGUAAAAUUCAAAUAAGCGUUCCCGGUCGAAAGUGGUUCGGUUGCGUGGUAAAACGUAGCAUUUAUUUCGAUAAAAUCGCGAAACGAGCGACCGGAAACCAUCGGGUGUUAAUAACCUUGGCCUGUGAAAUCGAGCUGCUGAAAAAUUUACUUGCAACGUGUGUUUGUUACAAAGAUAGAGUUUAACGCUUCGAGCGUGCCAGCUAGAAAUAAGCUGCGAUCCAAGUUCCACGGGAAUGGUUUAAUAUCAAUCUAUUCUUGACUACAAUACUUCUUUCCAUGAGAUACUUGCUACGUGUUUAGUGUUUCUAGUCAACUGGUUUGGAAUUUGUAAUAUAGGGUCAUGAUCUUCUUUCCUUUUUCUUGUUUUUUCUUGUUUUUAAUUAAUUAUUUGCAGUCGUAUCAUUCGCUAUAGUGACGACUCACAUUCACAUUGGCGACUCACAAUCAGCCGAAAUCAUCGGUUGAAUUUCUAUAUUUGGAAGGAAGUGGUUUGUUUGAGAUUACUAACGACUUUAACAAUUGUAGGAUUUUAUAUGGAUUUUUAUAGUUAGGAGAAAAAUGAAUAUUAAAGUGUAAUCUAGCAGUAGAAAAUUUGUUAUAAUGUAAAAUGAGAUACGGUCCAUGGUUUUCUAUUAAGAAAUGGAUUAAAAUUAAAUUAAAUUGCCUUUAGAGGGAAUUUGAAGAUCUAUUUUCAUAAAAAUUAUCUUUCAUAGUUGGCGACACAUAGGAGAAAUAAACCAGGAUAUUAAUAAGUAAAUAAUAAGCAGCAAUGUUUGAAAUUAUAAUAAUAUUAUAGCAUUCGUGGAAAUAAUAUAUUAAAAAUAUAUAAACAGUACGAACACACAGUGUUCAAUAAUAAUGCAACAAUUGUAAAAUGCAUUGUCCAAUCCCUUAUUUUCCUUAUUAUUGACGUAGAGCGAUCAAUAUCCAUCUUGUUUGAACGUUUUGAAAAUGCAUAAUGUAUCAACGUAGCAAUAAAUCAAGGGCUGUCGGUUUACGUAUAUCGAAGAGAUUAUAUUCAGAAAAUUUAUGGCUAGGUAUUAAACGUAAUUUACUGCAUUUAGUCAGUAACUUUUCUUACACGAUUAUUCUUGGAAUAGAUUUUAAAAUGUAUUAGGAUAUUGUUGGUAUCUUGCAUAUUAUUAUUAUAGAAAAAUGACAUACUAUGCUAAACGAAAGGUGAAAUAAUAAUAUAUGAAAAUAACUAACAAGAUAUUAAGUUUAUCCUGUAAAAAAUCUUAUACCGUUACGUAUUGUACAUACUUUGAUCCGCUAACGGUUCAUACUACUGUGUCCGUGUAUAAUUGGCUCAAUCUACUAGCCAACGUUAGGUUAGAGGAGCAAGCUGGAUAAAAUGGAUUAUAUUUCUUGUCUCCUUUUUAUGUAAAAUUUCAAUUAUAAAGU